GACGAACGCUGGCGGCGUGCUUAACACAUGCAAGUCGAACGGAAAGGCCCUGCUCUUGUUGGUUUCUCGAUUGGCGAACGCGUGAGUAACACGCGUGUAACCUGCCCUUGUCUUUCGGAUAACUUCAGGGAACUGGGGCUCAUAUCGGAUAUGAGCUCCUGCUGCAUUGUGUUCGUUGGAAAGUUUCGGCUGUUGGGGAUGGAUUCGCGGCUUAUCGGCUUGUUUGUGGGGUAGUGGCUUACGAAGGCUGUGACGGGUAGCCGGCCUGGGAGGGUUACCGGCGACAUGGGGACUGAGAGACGGAGCAGAAUCCUACGGGAGGCAGCAGGGGGGAAUAUUGCACAAUGGGCGGAAGCCUGAUGCAGAGACGCCGCGUGCGGGAUGACGGCUUUCGGGGUAUAAACCGCUUUCGCCUGUGACGAAGCGUGAGUGACGGUAAUGGGUAAAGAAGCACCGGCUAACUACGUG
RNAcentral lists this ribosomal RNA (468 nucleotides) under uncultured bacterium. RNAcentral's name for it is "partial 16S ribosomal RNA". It matches the Rfam family "Bacterial small subunit ribosomal RNA", at positions 28 to 507 of the family's 1533-position model. The record is from RNAcentral.